UCCGUAGGGUGCGAGCGUUGUCCGGAAUUAUUGGGCGUAAAGAGCUCGUAGGCGGUUUGUCGCGUCGACUGUGAAAACCUGGGGCUCAACUCUGGGCCUGCAGUCGAUACGGGCAGACUUGAGUUCGGUAGGGGAGACUGGAAUUCCAGGUGUAGCGGUGAAAUGCGUAGAUAUCUGGAGGAACACCGGUGGCGAAGGCGGCAUCCUGGACCGGCAUUGACGCUGAGGCGCGAAAGCCAGGGG
RNAcentral lists this ribosomal RNA (243 nucleotides) under uncultured prokaryote. RNAcentral describes it as "partial 16S ribosomal RNA". It matches the Rfam family "Bacterial small subunit ribosomal RNA", at positions 524 to 766 of the family's 1533-position model. The record is from RNAcentral.